GAUGUUGUCUGCAACUCGACUACAUGAAGUCGGAAUCGCUAGUAAUCGUAGAUCCUCCUACGGUGAAUACGUUCUCGGGUCUUGUACACACCCCCGUCACACCAUGGGAGCUGGUAAUGCCCGAAGUCGGUUUGUUAACUUCAGACGACACGGCUUACCAGAGGGGGGGGAACUCUUAAGAGGGGGGGUGAAAGGGGGGGGG
RNAcentral lists this ribosomal RNA (202 nucleotides) under Mycoplasmopsis synoviae. Its description in RNAcentral is "Mycoplasma synoviae partial 16S ribosomal RNA". It matches the Rfam family "Bacterial small subunit ribosomal RNA", at positions 1297 to 1511 of the family's 1533-position model. Lineage: Bacteria; Bacillati; Mycoplasmatota; Mycoplasmoidales; Metamycoplasmataceae. The record is from RNAcentral.